UUUAAGAGACACCAACGAUGCGGC
RNAcentral lists this non-coding RNA (24 nucleotides) under Rattus norvegicus (Norway rat). Lineage: Eukaryota; Metazoa; Chordata; Mammalia; Rodentia; Muridae. The record is from RNAcentral.